RNAcentral lists this ribosomal RNA (308 nucleotides) under uncultured bacterium. Its description in RNAcentral is "bacterial SSU rRNA". It matches the Rfam family "Bacterial small subunit ribosomal RNA", at positions 28 to 334 of the family's 1533-position model. The record is from RNAcentral.
GACGAACGCUGGCGGCGUGCCUAACACAUGCAAGUCGAACGGGACAGAGAGCUUCGGUUUUCUGUUUAGUGGCGAACGGGUGAGUAACGCGUGAGAAACCUGCCUCUCAGUGGGGGACAACAGUUGGAAACGACUGCUAAUACCGCAUAACAUUAUCGAAGGGCAUCCUUUGGUAAUCAAAGCUUUAUGUGCUGAGAGAUGGUCUCGCGUCUGAUUAGCUAGAUGGCGGGGUAACGGCCCACCAUGGCGACGAUCAGUAGCCGGUCUGAGAGGAUGAACGGCCACAUUGGGACUGAGAUACGGCCCAG